RNAcentral lists this ribosomal RNA (446 nucleotides) under uncultured bacterium. RNAcentral describes it as "partial 16S ribosomal RNA". It matches the Rfam family "Bacterial small subunit ribosomal RNA", at positions 338 to 795 of the family's 1533-position model. The record is from RNAcentral.
CCUACGGGCGACAGCAGUCGAGAAUCAUUCACAAUGGGGGAAACCCUGAUGGUGCGACGCCGCGUGGGGGAAUGAAGGUCUUCGGAUUGUAAACCCCUGUCAUGUGGGAGCAAAUUAAAAAGAUAGUACCACAAGAGGAAGAGACGGCUAACUCUGUGCCAGCAGCCGCGGUAAUACAGAGGUCUCAAGCGUUGUUCGGAAUCACUGGGCGUAAAGCGUGCGUAGGCUGUUUCGUAAGUCGUGUGUGAAAGGCGCGGACUCAACCCGCGGACGGCACAUGAUACUGCGAGACUAGAGUAAUGGAGGGGGAACCGGAAUUCGCGGUGUAGCAGUGAAAUGCGUAGAUAUCGAGAGGAACACUCGUGGCGAAGGCGGGUUCCUGGACAUUAACUGACGCUGAGGCACGAAGGCCAGGGGAGCGAAAGGGAUUAGAUACCCCUGUAGUC